RNAcentral lists this unclassified non-coding RNA (237 nucleotides) under uncultured fungus. Its description in RNAcentral is "partial contains 5.8S ribosomal RNA, internal transcribed spacer 2, and large subunit ribosomal RNA". The record is from RNAcentral. Lineage: Eukaryota; Fungi.
AACGCACAUUGCGCCCCCUGGCAUUCCGGGGGGCAUGCCUGUCCGAGCGUCAUUCAAAGGUACCCCUCGAGCCCCGCUCGGUGUUGGGCCGCGCCGCUGUGGGCGGCGGGCCUCGAAUCUAGUGGCGUGCCCCGCGGGCUCCGAGCGCAGUAACCUCUCGCUCGGGGGUCCGCGGGCGCGGCCAGCAAGCCCUCACAGGUAUACCUCGGAUCAGGUAGGAGUACCCGCUGAACUUAA